UACGUAGGCAGCAAGCGUUGUUCGGAAUUACUGGGCGUAAAGGAGUGUGUAGGCGGUGCUCUAAGUUCGGUGUGAAAUCUCCCGGCUCAACUGGGAGGGUGCGCCGAAAACUGGAGUGCUGGAGCGCGGGAGAGGAAAGCGGAAUUCCUGGUGUAGCGGUGAAAUGCGUAGAUAUCAGGAGGAACACCGGCGGUGUAGACGGCUUCUGGACCGUAGCUGACGCUGAGACACGAAAGCGUGGGUAGCAAACAGG
This 253-nucleotide ribosomal RNA is filed under the name uncultured bacterium. RNAcentral describes it as "partial 16S ribosomal RNA". It matches the Rfam family "Bacterial small subunit ribosomal RNA", at positions 524 to 776 of the family's 1533-position model. The record is from RNAcentral.